Molecule: unclassified non-coding RNA, 336 nt
Filed under: soil metagenome
Description: partial contains 5.8S ribosomal RNA, internal transcribed spacer 2, and large subunit ribosomal RNA
Rfam family: 5.8S ribosomal RNA (bases 1-120)
Source: RNAcentral
GAUGAAGAACGCAGCGAAAUGCGAUAAGUAGUGUGAAUUGCAGAAUUCAGUGAAUCAUCGAAUCUUUGAACGCACAUUGCGCCCCUUGGUAUUCCAUGGGGCAUGCCUGUUCGAGCGUCAUUUGUACCUUCAAGCUUUGCUUGGUGUUGGGUGUUUGUCUCGCCUUUGCGUGUAGACUCGCCUUAAAAUAAUUGGCAGCCGGCGUAUUGAUUUCGGAGCGCAGUACAUCUCGCGCUUUGCACUCAUAACGACAGCGUCCAAAAGUACAUUUUACACUCUUGACCUCGGAUCAGGUAGGGAUCCCCGCUGAACUUAAGCAUAUCAAUAAGCGGAGGA